This is a long non-coding RNA of Saccostrea cuccullata (small rock oyster), 361 nucleotides long. RefSeq lists it as uncharacterized. The transcript is spliced from 3 exons. The record is from RefSeq and is a predicted model, not a curated record. NCBI's taxonomy places the organism in Eukaryota, Metazoa, Mollusca, Bivalvia, Ostreida, Ostreidae.
GAAAAUGAAAUCGGCCAUCUGUAAUUAUUAGAUAGAGAUUGUAAAGAACAGAAAAUGGUUAUUUUGCAAUGCAGCAAUUGCCUUGAACAUAUACUUUUUUCAGCAAUGAUUUCAACAUUUCUUUGGCUUCCAUCAACUUUAGAACAAUGUGAAGGACCUUCAGGAGAUCUCAUCUGUUGUUACGGGUAUACGUGGAAUGAUACGCUGAAUGCUUGUAUCAGUUGUACUGAUGGAUUCUAUGGAGUAAAUUGCUCUACUCCUUGUCCAUUUCCAUCAUUUGGCUGGAAAUGUGAGGGGAACUGUAACUGUGGAAUUGAGUAUUGCAAUCAUGUUUCCGGUUGCAGAGAUCACACAAAGAAAU